This 479-nucleotide ribosomal RNA is filed under the name uncultured bacterium. RNAcentral's name for it is "bacterial SSU rRNA". It matches the Rfam family "Bacterial small subunit ribosomal RNA", at positions 28 to 491 of the family's 1533-position model. The record is from RNAcentral.
GACGAACGCUGGCGGCGUGCCUAACACAUGCAAGUCGAGCGGGGACUUGUGGAACGCGGCUUCGGUCAAGUGAAACAAGUUCUAGCGGCGGACGGGUGAGUAACGCGUGAGCAACCUGCCUAUCACUGGGGAAUAACGCAUCGAAAGGUGUGCUAAUACCGCAUAUACUUACGGAAUCGCAUGAUUCUGUAAGGAAAGAUGGCCUCUGAAAAUGCUAUCGCAAAAGGAUGGACCCGCGUCUGAUUAGCUAGUUGGUGAGGUAACGGCUCACCAAGGCGACGAUCAGUAGCCGGUCUGAGAGGAUGAACGGCCACAUUGGGACUGAGAUACGGCCCAGACUCCUACGGGAGGCAGCAGUGGGGAAUAUUGGGCAAUGGGGGAAACCCUGACCCAGCAACGCCGCGUGAAGGAAGAAGGCUUUCGGGUUGUAAACUUCUUUUACCAGGGACGAAGGACGUGACGGUACCUGGAGAAAAAGC